GACUACUGGGGUAUCUAAGCCCAUUCGCUACCUACGCUUUCGUGAUUGAGCGUCAGAAAUGUGCCAGUGAAUUGCCUUCGCAUUUGGUGUUCCCCAUAAUAUCAACGGAUUUCACCCCUACACUAUGAGUUCCAUUCACCUCUCACAUUCUCUAGAACAACCGUUUCGAGUGCGAAUCCAAAGUUAAGCUCUGGGAUUUAACACACGACUAAUUGUACCGCCUACUCACCCUUUACGCCCAAUAAUUCCGGAUAAUGCUCGGGGUACUCGUAUUACCGCUGCUGCUGGCACGAGUUUAGCAACCCCUUAUUCAUGCGGUACCGUCAACGUUCUUCCCGCAUAAAAGAUGUUUACAAACCGAAGCUCUUCAUCCAUCACGCGACAUCGCUCCGUCAGGCUUUCGCCCAUUGCGGAAGAUUCUCGACUGCAGCCCCCCGUAGG
RNAcentral lists this ribosomal RNA (441 nucleotides) under uncultured bacterium. RNAcentral's name for it is "partial 16S ribosomal RNA". The record is from RNAcentral.